Molecule: ribosomal RNA, 497 nt
Filed under: uncultured bacterium
Lineage: Bacteria
Description: partial 16S ribosomal RNA
Rfam family: Bacterial small subunit ribosomal RNA
Source: RNAcentral
GACGAACGCUGGCGGCGUGCCUAAUACAUGCAAGUAGAACGCUGAAGAGAGGAGCUUGCUCUUCUUGGAUGAGUUGCGAACGGGUGAGUAACGCGUAGGUAACCUGCCUUGUAGCGGGGGAUAACUAUUGGAAACGAUAGCUAAUACCGCAUAACAAUGGAUGACACAUGUCAUUUAUUUGAAAGGGGCAAUUGCUCCACUACAAGAUGGACCUGCGUUGUAUUAGCUAGUAGGUGAGGUAAUGGCCCACCUAGGCGACGAUACAUAGCCGACCUGAGAGGGUGAUCGGCCACACUGGGACUGAGACACGGCCCAGACUCCUACGGGAGGCAGCAGUAGGGAAUCUUCGGCAAUGGGGGCAACCCUGACCGAGCAACGCCGCGUGAGUGAAGAAGGUUUUCGGAUCGUAAAGCUCUGUUGUAAGUCAAGAACGGGUGUGAGAGUGGAAAGUUCACACUGUGACGGUAGCUUACCAGAAAGGGACGGCUAACUACGUG